CGAAAACCUUACCCUGUUCUGACAUCCUGUGAACUUUCUAGAGAUAGAUUGGUGCCUUCGGGAACACAGUGACAGGUGCUGCAUGGCUGUCGUCAGCUCGUGUCGUGAGAUGUUGGGUUAAGUCCCCGUAACGAGCGCAACCCUUGUCCUUAUUUGCCAGCACGUAAUGGUGGGAACUCUAAGGAGACUGCCGGUGACAAACCGGAGGAAGGUGGGGACGACGUCAAGCCAUCAUGGCCCUUAUGACCAGGGCUACACACGUGCUACAGUGGGGCGUACAGAGGGUUGCUAAGCCGCGAGGUGGAGCCAAUCCCAGAAAACGUUUCGUAGUCCGGAUCGAAGUCUGCAACUCGACUUCGUGAAGUCGGAAUCGCUAGUAAUCGCGAAUCAGCAUGUCGCGGUGAAUACGUUCCCGGGCCUU
RNAcentral lists this ribosomal RNA (421 nucleotides) under uncultured Gammaproteobacteria bacterium. Its description in RNAcentral is "bacterial SSU rRNA". It matches the Rfam family "Bacterial small subunit ribosomal RNA", at positions 963 to 1382 of the family's 1533-position model. Lineage: Bacteria; Pseudomonadati; Pseudomonadota; Gammaproteobacteria. The record is from RNAcentral.